This 67-nucleotide transfer RNA is filed under the name Hestiasula sp. JZ-2017. RNAcentral's name for it is "tRNA-Tyr". Lineage: Eukaryota; Metazoa; Arthropoda; Insecta; Mantodea; Hymenopodidae. The record is from RNAcentral.
GGUAAAAUGGCCGAGGUUUAAUAGGUGAUAAAUUGUAAAUUUAUUUAGGAGAAAUUCUCUUUUGCCA